This is a long non-coding RNA of Triticum aestivum (bread wheat), 1812 nucleotides long. RefSeq lists it as uncharacterized. Lineage: Eukaryota; Viridiplantae; Streptophyta; Magnoliopsida; Poales; Poaceae. The transcript has 5 exons. The record is from RefSeq and is a predicted model, not a curated record.
CUAUGGCCCAACAAGCCAUCCAACCUUCUCCAUCUCCGCCUCCUCCCCGAAGCGACGCCACGCCCUCGCUCCUCCUGAAGCGCCGCCACGCCCACCUCGAUCUCCGCCGCCACCUCCCACCCCUACCUCCGCGGUGGUCCUGCGCCCCCUCUACCCCGACCUCCGGCGACACUCCUCCCAUCCCGAUCUCCGCCGAUGGUCCUACGUCCUCACCACCCGACCUCCGGAGAAGCUCCUCCGACCCACCUCCCUCCCCGACCUCCGCUGCGCUCCCGCGCUGUUCACCGUGGUCACGCCCCCAUCCAUGCCGGUAGUGCAUGCUGGAUUAGGAGGUUGUACACGUACGUCUAUAUUUAUGUUCAAGUCGAGCUUCGUGAAUCUGAAGGCAUCUAUGAUCAAGAACCUAUUAAUUGCAUUCAAUUCAAUCUCACAUGUGUGUGCUACAUGCUGGAAGAAAUACUUAUCUUUUAAUUUGUAUAUAUGGCUGUGCGCACGUAUGUAUGUACUGGCACGUCUUGCCGGAACCUGAUUGGGAAGUCAGAUUCGCUAAAUCUCCACGCCCGUGUCUUCGUGCCAUAUACUUGGAGUAUAUAUCUAGCAUAUCAAGCCACCGGAGACAAGCAAUACUUCAUUGAAACAAUAACAACAAUAGCAUUGUUUUGUCCAGAUGACAUCGUCCAUGUCUACUGAUGUGGUUGGCACUCACCACAGGUACUCGCUCCAACCUUAGAUGAACUGUUUUAUCUCUGUAGCUAUUUAUGAAUAAAAUUGGUCAUGUAUAGCAUGCAUGCCUUCUGGCUAUAUAGAAGUCGAGGUGCCUAUGCGGGCUGCAAAAAUAGAGGGCGUCCCCGACUCAGAUUUUGUGUCCUGCUCGAGCACGUCAGUAAUGGGCGUCGGACAUGGACUCCACAUGGAACACUCUCUUUGACACAUAAACGAUGUCCUCAAGCCCCUAUGUGGAAGUAUCCAGCCUCGCCGUUCUACCAUUUUCUCUAGAACAACGAUGUACAUCUUUGACGGAACACUGACCGCCAGUGCUACACCUGAGUCUGCAGAGUUUACAAACAAGAGUGAAACCAAUAAUGUUGAGUGAUGAUUAUGGUAUGAUUGCUGGAUUAAUAAUUCAGAGUAAGAAAGCUAUUUUACUGGAAAAGCUGCUCCCGCGCUCUUCACCGUGGUCACACCCCCAUCCAUGCCGCUCUUUUCCCUGAACACCCAUGAGAGCGACGCCAUGCUGCGAGGGGAGCAAGUCGAGGUGCCUAUGCGGGCUGCAAAAAUGGAGGGCGUCGCCGACUCGGAUGUUUUGUCCUGCUCAAGCACGUCAUUAAUGGGUGUUGGACAUGGACUCCACAUGGAACGCUCUCUUUGCCACAUCAAAGAUGGCCUCAAGCCCCUAUACAGAAGUAUACAAUCUUGCCGUUCUACAAUUUUCUCUGGAACAACGAUGUACAACUUCGACGGAACAGGACCACCAGUGCUCCACCUGAGAAUAAACUUCUCACGAGUGAAAUUACUUCUGGUGUUGCAAUGUAGCUAGAUUGGAGAGAAACAUGAUAGCAUCUUAAUAAUCCAGUAAGAUUGUAAACCAGUUUUUCGGUUGGACGGAAGUAACUCCAGUCGCUGGGAGGACUUGGUGGUAAUUUACAAGGCCGCGAAGCAUUUUUCAUGUAACUGGUAGUGAUCUAAGUCACAUGUUAUUAGAAUGGAUGUUACCACAACAUUUCCGUAUGAACGUAUGCCACAGAUCUUUGCAUAUAUAUUGCACUCCCUUUGUAAAUAAAUAUAAGACGUUUUAAUAUGUUUCUACUACUA